This is a long non-coding RNA of Pundamilia nyererei, 1504 nucleotides long. RefSeq lists it as uncharacterized. The record is from RefSeq and is a predicted model, not a curated record. NCBI's taxonomy places the organism in Eukaryota, Metazoa, Chordata, Actinopteri, Cichliformes, Cichlidae. The transcript is spliced from 3 exons.
AUGACCUCUAUACUGUCAGCAGCAGAGUGACUGUGGAGAAGAGACACAGCAACAACAUCACCUGCAGAGUCCAACAGAGGAACACCAACCAGAGCAGAGAGACACACAUACAUGUUCCAGUCCCGUCCUGGUCUUUGAAAUUGGUCUUGGUUCCGGGCUUACUCGCCGUGUUUCUGAGUAUUCUACUGACCAUUCACAGAUGCCGAGUAAGGAUUCUUGAACAUGAUGAAAAAGAGGUGAUGCUCAAGAAUCCAGAUGUGUAAACACCGCAAGGAACAGGUUUGAUAGAUAACCACACAACUCCAGAGGGGCAAGAACUUCAGAUCAAGUAAGAUCAGGAAGUGGAGCUUCUGAAAUAUCUGGAGGAAGCAGGGGAGCAGCUGAAGAAGCUACACAUUUCAAUGACAGGAAAGCAGGCUUUGAGAAAGAGUUUAUGUGAAUACAGUGACUGUCAGUGUCAGUAUCCCUGAACAAAGCACCUGUGCCUAAACAGUCUUCAGCAUGACUUUAGUCUCUCUGUAUGUAUUUCUAAAUGGCAAUAACUCAACUCAGUUCAUCUGUGCAAAUUGGUUGUUACAUUUCUUACUGUGUUAGAUGACCUGUAGUAUCUGAAGUUUCAUGUGAUGAGGUCAUGUAAUCACUUUUAUUGCAUUAUAGAGAGUGGAUAUCGUCAAUAUUUUUAUCUGAGACAUGCAGUUCUGACCAUGAGCACAAAAGGUCCCCUUACCAUUCAAAUCUUCUGUUUAUGAGGGAAACCAGUCAGUCAGACAAAAGUUGGCUUAUAGGGAGAGGAGCCAAGAAAAGACAGAAGACGAACUGAAAUGUCAAACUGAGGCUUAAAAACAAAGAUAAAUAAGUAUUAUUUUGAACUGUGAACCAUCCGAAGCUGCUUAGGAGUCCAAGAAUAAAACAUAUUGUCUUGGAAACAAGGAGAAUAUGCUCCAUUUCCCAUUCCAGUGCAUUAUUGUAACUUUGUAACUACUUUUCUGGUUGUAGUCGCACCAUUUCAGGAAAAACAGCUACUUUGGGUCUCACCCAAAGUCACAGACUGACAAUCCUAGUGUAGCUAAUUUUGCUUUAAAAUGGCCAAUCAGGAGCGAUGAGCCUCAGGAUUGGACCAUGUCCAUGGCCAUAAUAUAGGAAGUAAAAUUAAAAUCACUGUAGAAACCUCAAAAGACCCAAAAUGUUUUAACUUCAUCUAGGCAACCAAAGAUGGGCUUCUUCCCUCUAACCUACAGUUGAUGACUGUCACUUUCAUCAGCUGUUAAUUUUGCACUGAGUCUAACAAUCUGUGAUAGCUACAAUGCUAAAUCAGAAGCAGCACUUUUCUGUGAGGCACCAUUGAUAAAGGUCUUGUAUUGGAAAGAGAUUUUAUAAUGAAUUUAAGUGCCAUGCAUGGCAGAGUCGAUCUGAUUAAUAAGAGCUAAACAACAUAGUUUUAAGGUCUAAAUAGGCUAUAUUUAUAUACAGUCCAAAUCAAGAAAACUUUAUUUGCAAAUGAGGC